AUAACUAUUGGAAACGAUAGCUAAUACCGCAUAACAGCUUUUAACUCAUGUUAGGAGCUUGAAAGAUGCAAUUGCAUCACUAGUAGAUGGACCUGCGUUGUAUUAGCUAGUUGGUGAGGUAACGGCUCACCAAGGCGACGAUACAUAGCCGACCUGAGAGGGUGAUCGGCCACACUGGGACUGAGACACGGCCCAGACUCCUACGGGAGGCAGCAGUAGGGAAUCUUCGGCAAUGGGGGCAACCCUGACCGAGCAACGCCGCGUGAGUGAAGAAGGUUUUCGGAUCGUAAAGCUCUGUUGUAAGAGAAGAACGUGUGUGAGAGUGGAAAGUUCACACAGUGACGGUAACUUACCAGAAAGGGACGGCUAACUACGUGCCAGCAGCCGCGGUAAUACGUAGGUCCCGAGCGUUGUCCGGAUUUAUUGGGCGUAAAGCGAGCGCAGGCGGUUUAAUAAGUCUGAAGUUAAAGGCAGUGGCUUAACCAUUGUUCGCUUUGGAAACUGUUAGACUUGAGUGCAGAAGGGGAGAGUGGAAUUCCAUGUGUAGCGGUGAAAUGCGUAGAUAUAUGGAGGAACACCGGUGGCGAAAGCGGCUCUCUGGUCUGUAACUGACGCUGAGGCUCGAAAGCGUGGGGAGCAAACAGGAUUAGAUACCCUGGUAGUCCACGCCGUAAACGAUGAGUGCUAGGUGUUAGGCCCUUUCCGGGGCUUAGUGCCGCAGCUAACGCAUUAAGCACUCCGCCUGGGGAGUACGACCGCAAGGUUGAAACU
Molecule: ribosomal RNA, 771 nt
Filed under: Streptococcus equinus
Lineage: Bacteria; Bacillati; Bacillota; Bacilli; Lactobacillales; Streptococcaceae
Description: bacterial SSU rRNA
Rfam family: Bacterial small subunit ribosomal RNA
Source: RNAcentral